UACGGAGGGGGCUAAAGUUGUUCGGAAUUACUGGGCGUAAAGGGCGCGCAGGCGGCUGCUCAAGUCAGGCGUGAAAGGCCUGGGCUCAAACCGGGAAUUGCGCUUGAGACUGGGCUGGCUUGAACGCGGGAGAGGAUGGUGGAAUUCCCAGUGUAGAGGUGAAAUUCGUAGAUAUUGGGAAGAACACCGGUGGCGAAGGCGGCCAUCUGGACCGCAACUGAUGCUGAGGCGCGAAAGCGUGGGGAGCAAACAGG
This 254-nucleotide ribosomal RNA is filed under the name uncultured bacterium. RNAcentral describes it as "partial 16S ribosomal RNA". It matches the Rfam family "Bacterial small subunit ribosomal RNA", at positions 524 to 776 of the family's 1533-position model. The record is from RNAcentral.